UCUUGGCCCAGUAGAACGACCUCCGCAAAGACUGAGAGUAUACGCUUCACGUGGUAGCUGGAGGGCCUGGCGUGUGCGAGGGAAGCUC
This 88-nucleotide small nucleolar RNA is filed under the name Trypanosoma cruzi. RNAcentral's name for it is "H/ACA snoRNA". Lineage: Eukaryota; Euglenozoa; Kinetoplastea; Trypanosomatida; Trypanosomatidae. The record is from RNAcentral.